CGCUAAGAAGCUAAGUAGGCCACAGCGUUAGCCUUUUAAGCUAAAGAUUGGUGACUGCCAACCACCCUUAGUGA
RNAcentral lists this transfer RNA (74 nucleotides) under Toxotes chatareus (largescale archerfish). RNAcentral's name for it is "tRNA-Lys". It matches the Rfam family "tRNA". Rfam says of the family: Transfer RNA (tRNA) molecules are approximately 80 nucleotides in length. Their secondary structure includes four short double-helical elements and three loops (D, anti-codon, and T loops). Further hydrogen bonds mediate the characteristic L-shaped molecular structure. tRNAs have two regions of fundamental functional importance: the anti-codon, which is responsible for specific mRNA codon recognition, and the 3' end, to which the tRNAs corresponding amino acid is attached (by aminoacyl-tRNA synthetases). tRNAs cope with the degeneracy of the genetic code in two manners: having more than one tRNA (with a specific anti-codon) for a particular amino acid; and 'wobble' base-pairing, i.e. permitting non-standard base-pairing at the 3rd anti-codon position. The record is from RNAcentral. Lineage: Eukaryota; Metazoa; Chordata; Actinopteri; Toxotidae. RNAcentral also lists the same sequence under 1 other name.